Molecule: ribosomal RNA, 492 nt
Filed under: uncultured bacterium
Lineage: Bacteria
Description: partial 16S ribosomal RNA
Rfam family: Bacterial small subunit ribosomal RNA
Source: RNAcentral
AGUGAACGCUGGCGGUAGGCCUAACACAUGCAAGUCGAACGGCAGCACAGUAAGAGCUUGCUCUUACGGGUGGCGAGUGGCGGACGGGUGAGGAAUACAUCGGAAUCUACUCUUUCGGGGGGGAUAACGUAGGGAAACUUACUCUAAUACCGCAUACCAUCCACGGGGGAAAGCAGGGGAUCUUUGGACCUUGCGCGAUUGGAUGAGCCGCUGACGGACUAGCUAGUUGGGGGGGUAAAGGCCCACGCAGGCGACGAUCCGUAGCUGGUCUGAGAGGAUGAUCAGCCACACUGGAACUGAGACACGGUCCAGACUCCUACGGGAGGCAGCAGUGGGGAAUAUUGGACAAUGGGCGCAAGCCUGAUCCAGCCAUACCGCGUGGGUGAAGAAGGCCUUCGGGUUGUAAAGCCCUUUUGUUGGGAAAGAAAAGCAGCAGGUUAAUACCCCGCUGUUCUGACGGUACCCAAAGAAUAAGCACCGGCUAACUUCGUG